This 407-nucleotide ribosomal RNA is filed under the name Ellipes minuta. Its description in RNAcentral is "partial 12S ribosomal RNA". Lineage: Eukaryota; Metazoa; Arthropoda; Insecta; Orthoptera; Tridactylidae. The record is from RNAcentral.
UAAACUACGAUUAGAUACCCUAUUAUUUUAAAUGUAAAUUUUAUGUAGGCUUGAGUAGUAGCAGUUAAAAUCUUGAAACUCAAAGAAUUUGGCGGUACUUAAGUCAUCUCAGAGGAAUCUGUCCCGUGAUUAAUAGUUCAUGAUUGAGUGUACUUUAGUUAUUAGUUUGUAUAUCGCCGUUAGCAGGAUAUUUUUUGAGAAAAUAAAAAUUCGGGAAUUUAAUUGAAAAAUUUAGUUCAGGUCAAGGUGCAGCUUAUGUUAAAGUGGAGAUGGAUUACAAUUAUUUUUAAGUUAAUAAUGGAUUUUGAUUUUGAUUGAUUAAAUGAAGGUGGAUUUGUUAGUAAAGUUGUGUUAAAUAAAUAAUUUGAUUUUGCUCUUAGGUAUGUACACAUCGCCCGUCGCUCUUA